UACAGAGGUGGCAAGCGUUGUUCGGAAUUACUGGGCGUAAAGGGCGCGUAGGCGGCCAUCUAAGUCAGACGUGAAAUCCCCCGGCUUAACCUGGGAACUGCGUCUGAUACUGGACGGCUCGAGUAUGGGAGAGGGAUGUAGAAUUCCAGGUGUAGCGGUGAAAUGCGUAGAUAUCUGGAGGAAUACCGGUGGCGAAGGCGGCAUCCUGGACCGGUAUUGACGCUGAGGCGCGAAAGCCAGGGGAGCAAACGGG
RNAcentral lists this ribosomal RNA (253 nucleotides) under uncultured bacterium. RNAcentral's name for it is "partial 16S ribosomal RNA". It matches the Rfam family "Bacterial small subunit ribosomal RNA", at positions 524 to 776 of the family's 1533-position model. The record is from RNAcentral.